GUGCUUGCUUCAGCAGCACAUAUCCUAAAAGUGGAACAAUACAGAGAAGAUUAGCAUAGCCCCUGCCCAAGGAUCACACGCAAAUUUGUAAAGAGUUCAACAUUUUU
Molecule: small nuclear RNA, 107 nt
Organism: Otolemur garnettii (small-eared galago)
Lineage: Eukaryota; Metazoa; Chordata; Mammalia; Primates; Galagidae
Source: Ensembl